Molecule: long non-coding RNA, 888 nt
Filed under: Serinus canaria (Common canary)
Lineage: Eukaryota; Metazoa; Chordata; Aves; Passeriformes; Fringillidae
Description: lncRNA (ENSSCAG00000002122.1)
Source: RNAcentral
GUCUGGAUUAGUGUUCUUGUGAAAUAUUUGUGAUCACAUCUCUGUUAAUGACACUAGAAUGGGAACAGAAUUGUCUCCAAACAGUCUCCUUUUUUUGAAGACUUAAAUCCAUCCUGAAUGUGUGCAUCAACCAGCAAGAUACCUGUCUCCCUCCUAACUUCCCACUGCAGGGCUUCAAAUACGUCAUCAGAGCAAGUGGAGCAAAAUGCACGGUGUAGACUGUUGAUCGGAGGUCAGCAUGUACAAACUGCAAGGGAAAGGCAAGUACAUUUAAUGAGCUCAGUUCACUGCUGGGUCACACCAGAGCAGAAGGACAAGACCUCCAUCGCUGGAAAGACCACCCAGAGAGGAGGAAGCUGCGCUUGCCCAGGAGGGAGCUGUGACAGAACCCAAGGGCUGCUGCUCUGUGAGCAAGAGGCAGCAGCUGGUGCCAGCAAGGGAAACUGGGGUGAGCCUCUCCUUUCUCUCCUCUUCCCUCUGUCUAUCCACACCUGCAGGCAGGGUAUGGGGCAAGAAGCCCCCUUUUAGCCCCCCACAGCUGAAGUGUGUCAGGGCAGAGAACUGGGGAGGUCAGUGUGGAGCUGUGCUUGGCAGCACCAUGGGGACCACAGGAAUGUGACUGUAAGGUCCUGGCUGUGUGUCCUCAGACAGGAGAACAUGCUGCUUCCCAGAAGAGCUUUUGUCCAUGGUAAGCCCAGUGCCCUCUUUCAGAAAAGGCUCUCAGACACACGCCCCCAAAAAGGAAAAAGGAAGUUUUGAAAGGUGGGAUCUGAGGAGAGGAAGUGACUCAUGGGCUCAAAGAGAGAUGGCCAGGCAGUGAGAGCCGGCCGAGGCAGCAGAAGCGAUCCCCAACUGUGCCGAGUCGUGGGAAUGGAGGUGAGGAAGGAG